Miniopterus natalensis is the source of this 604-nucleotide non-coding RNA. Lineage: Eukaryota; Metazoa; Chordata; Mammalia; Chiroptera; Miniopteridae. The record is from RefSeq and is a predicted model, not a curated record.
GCGGCCGCGGUGCGCCGGAAGUUCUCGAGAGACACGUCACUUCCGCAGGUCAAUCUAGCGCCGCGAGAUCUCACCUACCCGGAACCAGUGGCCGUUUCCUUGGAAACGGCCCCGCUGCCGCUGCUCGCCGUAGCCGGAAGUUAGCUUGUUUUUCCUCCUCUCUUCUUUUGUUUACAGAUAAUGAACAAAGAGAGACCCUAGAAAAAAGGGUAUAGUGCUCUGAAGGAGUGAAACAGGUUCUAUAAGGUCAUGCAGUAGAGGAAACCAACCUAACCUGGGAACAAGAGGGAAGGCGUUCUUAAAGAAAUGACACAAACUACCAACAUAAACGUUCAAAUCUGCGAAGAAUUUUUUGAACCACACUGUGGAGAAUUUCUGGGAAGCAAAAUUUCAACAGAUUGAGAUAACAGAAAUGUUGGCUAUUCAGGAGGAAUGCGGCUCUGCUGAAGCCUUGCUCUCGGACUUCCAGCAUCAAAACUGUGAGACAAUUUCUCUUGUUUAAACAACAACAAAAUGUUGACUUUCUGGGUAAAUACAAUAGACUAUUUUUUUCCUCUUAAAAUAUUUUAAAUAUAUGUAAUGAUUGAAAACCAAAUUUAUUAUA